GGGAGCGGCAUUCCCUCCCCAACGAGGCCAUAUCCGGCGCAUGCGCCCAAACAUUCGCGCCGGUAUAGCUUGACCCGUCCGGUUGUCCCCCCGGGCGGGUC
Small RNA from Tardiphaga sp., 101 nucleotides. It matches the Rfam family "Rhizobiales-2 RNA". Lineage: Bacteria; Pseudomonadati; Pseudomonadota; Alphaproteobacteria; Hyphomicrobiales; Nitrobacteraceae. The record is from Rfam.